UAACAUAGUGUUCAGAUGUCUUCCUCAUC
Molecule: non-coding RNA, 29 nt
Filed under: Rattus norvegicus (Norway rat)
Lineage: Eukaryota; Metazoa; Chordata; Mammalia; Rodentia; Muridae
Source: RNAcentral